Molecule: ribosomal RNA, 434 nt
Filed under: uncultured bacterium
Lineage: Bacteria
Description: bacterial SSU rRNA
Rfam family: Bacterial small subunit ribosomal RNA
Source: RNAcentral
GAACGCGAAGAACCUUACCCGGGCUUGAAUUGCAGAGGAAGGAUUUAGAGAUAAUGACGCCCUUCGGGGUCUCUGUGAAGGUGCUGCAUGGUUGUCGUCAGCUCGUGCCGUGAGGUGUCGGCUUAAGUGCCAUAACGAGCGCAACCCCUCUCUUCAGUUGCCAUCAGGUUAAGCUGGGCACUCUGGAGACACUGCCACCGUAAGGUGUGAGGAAGGUGGGGAUGACGUCAAAUCAGCACGGCCCUUACGUCCGGGGCUACACACGUGUUACAAUGGCCGGUACAGAGGGAUGGUGUAAUGCAAAUUGCAUCAAAUCUUGGAAGCCGGUCCCAGUUCGGACUGGGGUCUGCAACCCGACCCCACGAAGCUGGAUUCGCUAGUAAUCGCGCAUCAGCCAUGGCGCGGUGAAUACGUUCCCGGGUCUUGUACACACC